GCCGGUGUGGCGGAAUUGGCAGACGCGCACGACUCAAAAUCGUGUAAGCGCAAGCUUGUGUCGGUUCGACCCCGACCACCGGCA
This 84-nucleotide transfer RNA is filed under the name Deltaproteobacteria bacterium. RNAcentral's name for it is "tRNA-Leu". It matches the Rfam family "tRNA". Rfam says of the family: Transfer RNA (tRNA) molecules are approximately 80 nucleotides in length. Their secondary structure includes four short double-helical elements and three loops (D, anti-codon, and T loops). Further hydrogen bonds mediate the characteristic L-shaped molecular structure. tRNAs have two regions of fundamental functional importance: the anti-codon, which is responsible for specific mRNA codon recognition, and the 3' end, to which the tRNAs corresponding amino acid is attached (by aminoacyl-tRNA synthetases). tRNAs cope with the degeneracy of the genetic code in two manners: having more than one tRNA (with a specific anti-codon) for a particular amino acid; and 'wobble' base-pairing, i.e. permitting non-standard base-pairing at the 3rd anti-codon position. The record is from RNAcentral. Lineage: Bacteria; Pseudomonadati; Myxococcota; Myxococcia.